UGUGAAGCUCACUGUGAGCAAUGUGCUGA
This 29-nucleotide non-coding RNA is filed under the name Homo sapiens (human). The record is from RNAcentral. Lineage: Eukaryota; Metazoa; Chordata; Mammalia; Primates; Hominidae.